CCUACGGGGGGCAGCAGUAAGGAAUAUUGGUCAAUGGACGCAAGUCUGAACCAGCCAUGCCGCGUGGAGGAUGAAGGUCCUCUGGAUUGUAAACUUCUUUUAUUUGGGAAGAAACUCCCGAUUUCCAUCGGGAUUGACGGUACCAGAUGAAUAAGCACCGGCUAACUCCGUGCCAGCAGCCGCGGUAAUACGGAGGGUGCAAGCGUUACUCGGAUUCAAUGGGGUGAAGGGGUGCGGGUGAGGGCGUGGAGAAAUCUCCUGGCUUAACCCGGGAACUUCCCUUGAUACUAUUUGUCUUGAAUACUCUGGAGGUGAGCGGAAUAUGUCAUGUAGCGGUGAAAUGCUUAGAUAUGACAUAGAACACCCAUUGCGAAGGCAGCUCACUACGGAAAUAUUGACGCUGAGGCACGAAAGCGUGGGGAUCAAACAGGAUUAGAUACCCCGGUAGUC
This 450-nucleotide ribosomal RNA is filed under the name uncultured bacterium. Its description in RNAcentral is "partial 16S ribosomal RNA". It matches the Rfam family "Bacterial small subunit ribosomal RNA", at positions 338 to 795 of the family's 1533-position model. The record is from RNAcentral.